UCCCGUCAACAGGUGAAGCUACCACAUGAUCUGAUCUUUCCUUGACUGGCCAAAAGGGAAGUUUAGAUCAUGCUGGCAGCUUCAACUGCUGGUGGU
Molecule: microRNA precursor, 96 nt
Filed under: Prunus dulcis (almond)
Lineage: Eukaryota; Viridiplantae; Streptophyta; Magnoliopsida; Rosales; Rosaceae
Description: sRNA ncRNA
Source: RNAcentral